RNAcentral lists this long non-coding RNA (1129 nucleotides) under Serinus canaria (Common canary). RNAcentral describes it as "lncRNA (ENSSCAG00000001396.1)". Lineage: Eukaryota; Metazoa; Chordata; Aves; Passeriformes; Fringillidae. The record is from RNAcentral.
CCUUCAGCCCUGGGGGUGUCACAGGGGGGUUUGAGGGGCACCCCCAGCCCUGUGGGGGACACUCGGGGGGUCCUGUGCUCAGCCCUGCCCGUGGCGUCCCCCGGGUGCCCCAGAACAGCGACCUCUGCCCCUUCCCCAGUGCCACAACUCCUCCAGACUGCCCCCCAGCCCCUCCCCAGCCCGGAGCUCCCGGAUUUGGGGUUCCACAGGAGCCAGCCUGGCCCGGCAGCUCCAGAGCUCCCAGUCCCAGACUGGUCGGGGACUGGCCGGACCCGCUCCCCCCUCCAGCCCGGCUCCCCCGCUGCCCUCCCCGGCCUCCAGCUCCACAACCGGCUUUUCCUGCCGCAGAUGCCGCUCCCGGCGGGGCCCAGCCCUGGCGACAGCCCGGCUGGAGGGCGACAGCCAGGCUGGGGACCUGCGGAUGGCCCAGCGGCUCCUGGGGACCCUGGGAACCUCCCAGGGAAUCCCGGCGCAGCUCCCAGGGCUGGGCUGGGCUGCUCCCAGACACUUCUGUCCCCUCGCAAUGAAUUCCUGGAAUCCCCAGCCACAAUUCCCACGUGGGAAGCGAGGCCGUGCUGUUCCCGCAGCUCUUGGCCUCCUGCAGAGCCUCCUGCUCCCCCUGGGCAUUCAUCCCUGCUCUCUUUAUUUCUGCAGAUCUGUUUCUAUUAUUUCCAUUCCUUUCUCUUUCUAUUUCUAUUAUUUCUAUUUCUGUCAUUUUCCUGUUCUCACUCUUAUUCCUGUUCCUGUUCUUUCCUCUUCCACCUUCUAAUCCUAUUCCUGCUUUUAAUCCUAUUCCGACUCAUAUUCCCGUUCUUCCUAUGCAUUCUUAUUCCCCUUCCUAUGCGUUCCUAUUCCUAUUUAUCCACACUCCUAUUCUUAAUCCUAUUCCUAUUUAUUCCUAUUAUCAUUCCUAUCCUAUUACAAUUCCUAUUCCCUUUCCUGUUCCCGUUCUCAUUCCAAUUUCCCUCUUCCCAUUCUCUCUCUCCUUUCCCAUUCCUGCUCCUUUCCUGUUCCCCAUUUCUCUCCCUCUUACCCCGCUGUUCCGGAGGUGUCGGGACUCGAACCCUUGGCCCGGCGGUUCCGGCGGUACCGGGACUCGAACCCGCGGCCCAGCGGUUCCGGCGGUACC